GGGUUAGGUUAGGUUUAGGGGUAGGGUUAAGUGUAGGGCAAGGUUAGGGGUAGGGUAUGGUUAGGGUAGGGUUAAGGGUAGGUUAGGAGCAGAGUUCCUACUCCAACCCUUAACCCUACUCCAACCCUUAACCCUACUCCAACCCCUAACCCUACCCCAACCACUAACCCUACCCCAACUCUUAACCCUACCCCUAACCCAACCCAUAAACCUAACCCUACCCCUAACUCUACCUCUACCC
Molecule: non-coding RNA, 241 nt
Organism: Pelobates cultripes (western spadefoot toad)
Lineage: Eukaryota; Metazoa; Chordata; Amphibia; Anura; Pelobatidae
Source: the annotation of a GenBank genome assembly